RNAcentral lists this unclassified non-coding RNA (1372 nucleotides) under Hevea brasiliensis (rubber tree). Lineage: Eukaryota; Viridiplantae; Streptophyta; Magnoliopsida; Malpighiales; Euphorbiaceae. The record is from RNAcentral.
CUUUUUUUUUUCUUUUUUUUUUUGGGUCCAACCUAAAAUUGAACGAGUCCUUGAUUGGAUAAGCUGUUUGGCAGUUAGUUGACGUCAGACCACUUCUGGGUUAUUGAAUUCCAAAUAAUCAACCUUUAUGCUGUAUCUUUUUAACACAAAUGUUGGCAUUUCAACAGUUUGAAGUAGUGUGCCCAAAUGUAUGCAUGGAAGACAAGAUUGGAUUAUCUUCUGUGUUAGCUGUACACAUCUUCUAGGAAGUUCUGCACUAAACAUUUACUGCAACUUUUCUGAAGCAGAUUGUUCUUGCAAGGGAUAUGAAAUACUUAAGUAGUGUUUAUUAAGUGGUCAAUUACUGGUCAAACUCUCCAUUCUUGUAUGGUGGCAUAUUAGUAAUAUAACAUUUUAGGGAAUUGCAUAUAUGUUAAGCUUCGAAUAACUGAAUAUAUAUCUUUUUUUUUUUAUGGUGUUUUUUGUGUAUCCUAGUAAGCUAUGAUUCCUAAUCUUAUUAAUAAAUUUACUUAUUGUGAAAACUUUGGUUUAAGUUUGUUGUGCUAGAACUGAAUGUUUAGUUCCUCUUCUUUUUACUGCCUUUUCUUGAUCUGUAAACCUGCUUCCAAAGUGUCUUGGUUUAAGUUUGUUGUGAAAACUUUUGGUGUGAUUGUUUGUUGUGUUAGAAUUAAAUGGUUGUGAUAGUUCCUCUUCUUUUUGCUUCCGUUUCUUGAUCUCUAAACAUGCUGCUGAAGUGUCUUAUUAUUAUUCACUGCAUCAGGCCUUUAAUUUUCCAAAGCCAAAAUUCCAGUCAAUGAACAAACCAAGAGAACCCUAGUACCCCUUGCAUCUAUCCAAAAAUUGCCUAUCAAUUAAUUACCCAUAGGUUUCGUGCAGCCAGAGAUGACCUCAAGUGGAAUCUGAGAUUCUAGAACUAACCAUUUGUCUUGCCUCAAAUAUCAAUCACUUCAACACCAAUUCAGCCUCAAGUUCUGGCCCUUGUUAUUUACUUUUCUUUUUUCCAUUUAUAAAGCUCUAACUAACCAUAAACAUACCAGGAUCUGUUAUCCAAAACUGGAGUAUGUCACUAGGUGCUUAGUUAGUAACCUUUUUUCCCCUACAAGGUUUGACGCAACUAAUAUUUUCUGUGCAUUUCAUCUUCUUUUUAUUCAGUCAUAUAACUCAUAAUAGUUUGCUUCUGUUAUCUCUGCCGAUAUAUUGGCUUAUUUGUUGAUGUUUACUAAUAUGACUACCAUUCGCUCCAUUUAAAUUUUGAUCUUCCCAAUUUUUUGAGCUUGUUAUGGCUUUGCUUCCAUGGUUAAAUCCUCCCCACUGAACUACAAACUCCCUCAUUCUCCUCGCAUCCCAGUCUGAAAUGUCUCUGUAUUCAUCU